UAACAAGGUUUCCGUAGGUGAACCUGCGGAAGGAUCAUUAAACGAAUGAACAUGUUUCUCAGCAUGAAUUUCAAAACCCAUCUGUGUACCUUACCUGUUGCUUCCGCGCUGCGCGUGUCGAAGAUAUGCCUCUGCGGAUGUCUCCCCACCAGGGUGGCGGGGGGAUCGUGGAGCGUCGGCGUGGAAGGCUAUACCACAAACUCUUGUAUUUCCAUGUUUUCUGUCUGAACUGUCAUACAAAUAAGUUAAAACUUUCAACAACGGAUCUCUUGGUUCUCGCAUCGAUGAAGAACGCAGCGAAAUGCGAUAAGUAGUGUGAAUUGCAGAAUUCCGUGAAUCAUCGAAUCUUUGAACGCACAUUGCGCCUUCUGGUAUUCCGGGAGGCAUGCCUGUUCGAGCGUCAUUAAAAUCAAUUCAAGCAUUUCAGCUUGGUCAUGGAGGAAGAGUCCACCCUGUGGUCUCCCCACUGAAAUCGAAAGGCGGAAAGAGUCCGGUACACGGUGUAGUACUAACGUUCACUUCGUAUCCGGAGUCGUACCAGCCGACAAAUCCCCUACAAUUCUCUUGAUUGACCUCGGCUCAGGUAGGGAUACCCGCUGAACUUAAGCAUAUCAAUAAGCGGA
This 623-nucleotide ribosomal RNA is filed under the name Phaeangium lefebvrei. RNAcentral describes it as "eukaryotic LSU rRNA". The stretch from base 250 to 403 matches the Rfam family "5.8S ribosomal RNA". Lineage: Eukaryota; Fungi; Ascomycota; Pezizomycetes; Pezizales; Pyronemataceae. The record is from RNAcentral.